UACGUAGGGGGCAAGCGUUGUCCGGAAUCAUUGGGCGUAAAGAGCGUGUAGGCGGCUCGGUAAGUCCGCUGUGAAAGUCCAGGGCUCAACCCUGGAAUGCCGGUGGAAACUGUCGAGCUAGAGUCCGGAAGAGGCGAGUGGAAUUCCUGGUGUAGCGGUGAAAUGCGCAGAUAUCAGGAGGAACACCAAUGGCGAAGGCAGCUCGCUGGGACGGUACUGACGCUGAGGCGCGAAAGCGUGGGGAGCAAACAGG
RNAcentral lists this ribosomal RNA (253 nucleotides) under uncultured bacterium. RNAcentral describes it as "partial 16S ribosomal RNA". It matches the Rfam family "Bacterial small subunit ribosomal RNA", at positions 524 to 776 of the family's 1533-position model. The record is from RNAcentral.